Panicum virgatum (switchgrass) is the source of this 3106-nucleotide long non-coding RNA. RefSeq lists it as uncharacterized. The transcript has 3 exons. The record is from RefSeq and is a predicted model, not a curated record. Lineage: Eukaryota; Viridiplantae; Streptophyta; Magnoliopsida; Poales; Poaceae.
CGUAAACUAGCGAGACCCGCUUCGAUGCAGUGUGAUCCGCAGCCGGCGGCGGCGGAAGGGAACUAGGGGGCUGCAGGUGCUUGAGAUCGCCCCCCGCCCCCUCGACCCGCAGCACCCGCCGUGCCCGAGCGGUAGGGCAGCCUCCUCGAGCUGGGCAUCUCGCGCACCCCUCAGCGGGGAGCCGGGCAUCUCGCGCACCCACCUGGAGAGGGAGCUUCCCAGGUGCCCGAUUCGCUCAGGGGCAUGGCCUCCUCGAGCGGGUGCCUCGCGCUGGCCCGCCUCGAGCGGGAGGGCAGCAGCUGAGCAGAGGAACGGAAGGGGAGCGCCCCAACUGCGCAAUUCGGGAGUGGCAGGGCAAGCGGCGCUGCUUGGUUUCUGGGCGGUUGGGCUGGGGAGGUGAGGCGUUGCAGGCUCAGGCUCACUGCUCAUUGGUGGAGCUGCAGAGCAGUCAACGACGAGGGAAUCUCUGCAACGUCUUUUUUACAUGCACGACAUUUUUCUGGUUUUCUCGAGGUAUUUUGGAAAUGGAGACACACUGAUCCCGUCAUGCUGGUCGUUAAGCAAGGGAACAUGCUGAUAUUCAAAAACACAUGCCCAUAUCUGUAGUCGAUUACUGAAUAUUUUGAUGCUCUAAACUGCAGUUAAAAAUAUCCGAUCCUUUAUGUUCAGAUUUAGUUCUCCCUUUCAAGUAAUCUGUUUCCUUCGGUGGCUCUUUUCUCUUUUAGUAAGUUAUUUGGCCACUCUUUGAUGGUAGAUGAGAAUGAACUAAAAAUCCCAACCAGUAACACAUUCAGUAUUGCCCCCUCUGUUAGUAUUUCACUAAUUCUGUGUUAGUAAAUCCCUACCUCAGUAACAGAGUAAUUCUUUCUUACUCAAUUACAUGAGUUAGUAUAGUAGUUAUGUUAGCAUCUAGUAUCAGUAAUUUUUUUUGUCUGGUUAGUAGUACCAUGAUUUUUUUUGCUUAGGCUCAGUAAUAUUCCAACAACCAUUUUUUUGUCAGCAAUUACUAAAUGUUGAUGCUCAAAAUUGAGUAGUUAGGCCAGUAGUAUCAGUAAUUUGUUAGGUUUAGUGGUUAGAACAGUAUUUUUUCGAUUCCUGAGCGCUGAUGAUCUGAAUCGAGUAGGUAGUUUAGUAGUUCAGUAAUGAAAUACUAUACUAUCGAACUACAUGAGAUUGGAAUAGAGCUCGGUUACUAAAAACUACUGAAACUGAAAAAACUACUGAGCUCAAUCAUCUCAUGAAUCAUCAAGAGCUAUAUAAUCGAAAUAGUUUGAAUAGGCUAUUACUGAAUCAUCUGCGUAAUUUUGGACUGAUAUAUAUGUUCUAGGUUUUCUUAGGGGUGUAUUGGAAAUGGAGACACAUUGAUACCAUCAAGCUAAUCGUUGUCCCUGCUGGUGGGGAGGUGGCUCGUCGGUGUCCUUAGUAGAUGGGGUGCAGCACCUGCAAUGGAGUGCGGCGGUGUCAGCGGCAGCCACAACACACCUGCCUGGGCCCUUUGCGCGGUGCCCACAGUGGCCUUGAGCAGCUUCUCUGGUGUUGCAGUGGCCGCGGAGGCCUCGAGCUGUGGCGAUGCGGCAUCAAAGCAUCCUCCCCUGCGAGCUGCGCCCUUCCUCCCCUGCAUGAUCCCAACAAGCAACUUGUUAAAGAGGCGUCCGAUCCUACCGGGUGCUCCGGCACAAUUGGAGAUGAAGAUACGCUGAUAUCAUCAAGCUAAUGUUAAGCAAGCAGCAACAACAAAUUAAGAUGAGAACAGUGGGAGUAGUGCUCAGUAUCCAACAUUACAUGCCCAUUUCUUAUUGGUGAUUUCUGAAUAUUUCAGUCCUCUAAACCGCACUCAAUGUUGGCUAGGCCAGUAGUUUUGUAAGAAUUUAGUAUAAAUAAUUUGUUAGGUUUAGUAGUUAGUCCAGUAUUUUAUUUUUUUCUGAUUCCUAAGUAUUGAAGAUAUGAAUUGAGUAGGUAGUCUAGUAGUUCUGUAAGCAUUUUUCAGUAAAGUAAUUGUUACUGCAGGCAUAAUUAUUCUAUUUAUUGCUUAGUGUUGCUUUGUUUAGGCUCAGUACUUGUGUUAGUAUCUAGUAUCAGUAAUUUUCGAUCAUUACUGAACAUUUGAUUCUUUGAGUCCAGUAGUUAGUAUAGUAGUCCAGAUAUUGAUCUCAAUGGCUAAGAACAAAACCAAAAGCCAUGCGUAAACUACUAAACCCAUUCACAUGAUCUAGUUCAGUAGUUGCCAUGGAUUUUUUUUCUUUCUUUCUUCUAGCUCAGUAAUAUUCCUAACAUCACUUCUUUGUUGCAAUUUUACAAUAUCUUUUUAUUCCUGAACAUUGAAGAUUUUAACUGUGUAGGUAGUCUAGUAGUUCAGUAGCCACCAUUACUGAACUACUGGACCAAACAAUGAAAUACUAGAUUACUGAACUACAUGAGAUUGUAUAGAGCUCAAUAAUUAAAACUACUGUAAGUAAAAAAACUAAACUUUUGAGCUCGUGCAAUUUUUAUAUUCAGUAACUCAACAUAAUUUGAAUAAGCUUACUGAACAAUCUAGUAUCUUUAUUGUUAUUGUUAAUGUUUGAUGACAAAGAACUAAACCCUAAUUUUGCCGGCCAUGGAAUCAUCCUACCGCCCUCGCUUUACGUACGGUAUGUCUCAAGUAAUCCAGAAAUAUCCCUCAACACCCAGCAAUACUUGCAUAUUUUUCAGUAAUUCUCCGUAAUCCAAUAAUACCAUGUAGCAUUUUAGUUAUUAUCAGUAAAGCAGUAACCUAGUAAUUUUAUAUCGUGCCGGUCUCACUCCGCUUUCCUCGAUCUUUUUCAGAGUUUUACCGAGGUAGGUUCAUUUGGGCCCCCUUUUGGUCUCAUCAUCUCAUGCAUACGAUAUUGAUAGUAUGAACUUCACCAAGGACAGGGUUCCAAGUGAAGAGAAGAUGCUUCAUGUGUUUUUUAUAGACUUUUUUUUUGGUUUUGGAGGCUACCUGAGAUAGUUAAUCAUAACCAAUAUAUGUACAUAAGCGUAAUCACCGCCCACUAUUUAUGUACACCCUUGGAUUCAGUAAUCCAGAGAACUAGUAUUUCUGUAUUAUGUACUUUUUUCCAUUAAUUUUUUCAAUUUUGGUGAA